RNAcentral lists this ribosomal RNA (253 nucleotides) under uncultured bacterium. RNAcentral describes it as "partial 16S ribosomal RNA". It matches the Rfam family "Bacterial small subunit ribosomal RNA", at positions 524 to 776 of the family's 1533-position model. The record is from RNAcentral.
UACGUAGGGUGCAAGCGUUGUUCGGAAUUAUUGGGCGUAAAGCGCGUGUAGGUGGCUGUGUAAGUCGAGUGUGAAAUCCCUGGGCUCAACCGAGGAAGUGCACUCGAAACUACAUAGCUAGAGGACAAUAGAGGAAGGUGGAAUUCCUAGUGUAGAGGUGAAAUUCGUAGAUAUUAGGAGGAAUACCGGUGGCGAAGGCGACCUUCUGGGUUGUUCCUGACACUGAGACGCGAAAGCAUGGGUAGCAAACAGG